This 2287-nucleotide long non-coding RNA is filed under the name Coffea arabica (coffee). Its description in RNAcentral is "long non-coding RNA (CARA_LNC004572)". The record is from RNAcentral. Lineage: Eukaryota; Viridiplantae; Streptophyta; Magnoliopsida; Gentianales; Rubiaceae.
UUUAGUCUCUCAUAUUUAAAAUCAAUCAAAAUAGUCCCUUAGAUAUUAAAAAAAAUUGUGCUCCUUAAUGGCUUAAUCCAGAGCUGAUUUUCAAUCACUUUUCCAACUAAAAAGCGCACACCUAAUUCACAUGCUUACAAUUUAAGGGUAAAAUGGGAAUAUAAUUUUUUUCAGAAAAAAAAAGUACAUGACAAUCACAUGACCAUCUUCCAAACAGGGAACCCUAAUUUUUAUCCACCAAACCCAAAAAGUAAGGUCACCCGUACCUUUGCAUUUUUUUCACCCAUGUAGCAUCUGUCUCACUAUAAACUACUUUAAAAAUUGUAAAAGUGAGUUAAAAUGAGUAUUGUAUGAUGAUCUUAGAAAUUUUACCUAACUAAAAAAUAAAAUAAGUUACGAGUCACUGCAUAGAUCAACCUACUUAUAUAUUUAUCUAGAUGAAAUCAGUGUGAGAGGAGGUGUCCAAACUCUCGAGGGUGAUUGAGUUUUUAGCAAAGAAAGCUUUCCAUGAGAGCGAAAAGGUGGAGGUAAGCUUUUAAUUUCAUUUUACUUGCACUGAAUCUUAGGCAUCAUUUGGAUUGAAGGAAAGAGAAGAAAAGUAAAGGAGAGAACUCUAUUGAAAAAGAAAAGAAAAGAGUUCCAAAGGAAAUCAGAAUCCAUGCAUUUUAUUUGGAUUACAAAAGGAAUUGAAAGGAAACCACUACGAGUUAGUUAGCUUCUUAUCCAUAAUUUAAAAAAUUAAUUUGUAAACACAUAAUAGCUUUUUGGGUAAAAUACACUAAACUCCCUUAUGGUUUGAAUUAUUUUCAUAAAACCUCCUCAUUGUUUAAAAACUCCAAAAGAACCCCUCGUGGUUUGGAUUAAUUUGGCCAACAAUGGAAAUCAUCUAAUUUAACAGAAAAAUAUGAAAUUUCUAUAUUAACCUUGUUCAACCUAUACUAAAAGUUAGAUCAGGGUUUACAUAAGAUUUUAAAAAAUUUCUCACUUCAUUUGAGAAUAAAGAAACAUCAAGUGGCUCAUUUGAAAUUUCAAAACUAAUCAUCUUCUCCAAAUCUCCAUUUUUUACUUUGACAACAGUAGAACAGCCACCAAUUACCAGCCACCGUUCAACUGAAAAUCCAAAUCAAGACAAGACCCAAAUUUUACUUUCUUAAUUCUCUCAAAUCUUGCAUAUUCAUGGAGGAAUUUAUCACUGUUAUCAUUCUAUCUCAAAAAACUCCAUGAAAGAGCAAAACAAAUUUCAAACUCCUCAACAAAUUCACAACUCACCCACGGUACUAUUGUUACUGCUGCCAACACCGUCGUCAAGGUUUCAUCAUUGGCAGCAUCAUUCUUUACAUUAGGCACAAGCAUAAGGUUUCAUCAUCGUCAUCAUCGUUCCAAGAUCGAGAAAUUGCUAACAACCCAUCGCCUUACUACUAUUAUCAUUGAACACUGAACCAGUCGAGGCAGUGAUCAGACGCAAGCUGUAAGAUUCCGCUAAGCUAAGCCCAUCCCGUCCAGACAAUGGUGUUAGUCAGUAGACACAUACAGGAAUUUUUAGGCAAAUUUAAGAUCCUUCAAAUAUAUAUAACCCUACCGCCAAUGGCCCACGAGCAGGGGUGCGUCUUCUACUCUGGCUUGUCCUCCUCAUUAAGGUGUUCUGUUAGUCUUGUAAGCUGACCCACUGAAGCAGAAGACCAAUUCUUUUCUUUCAAACUCCUGCUUUCUAUGUCCCCAACCACCUUCACUCCGCUUGUAAGUGAAAUAGCCUCUUCAUCAAAUUCAUCACCAGUCCCACGAGAGAAAGCUUACCUAGGAAGCCCAUCGAACAAUUAAAACUAUCAGCAGCCAACUAAAUUCAUCUGCUACAAUGAUGGAAGUGUACGAAUCAAUCUAUCAAUGGCAAUUUUUGCUGCUUGAACUGCCAUUGUCAUCACCUUCAUCGUCAUCUUCAACACCAUUGGAUCUCAGAUUUCAUCUAAAUUCUUGAAGUUUCAUGACUCUUCACGUGAAAUUGGUGACAAAUAAUUGUAAAUAGACUUUGGGACAAAAAUUUGGUGAAGUUUCAGCAAUAAAUUGUAGUGACUACCACGCAGCAGUAGAAGCGGUGGUGACACACCUCCAUCUCUGCUUUCUGGUUUGCUGCACCAGUAGAUGGGAGAGAGAGGGAAAAGAAAUAGAGAAGGUAAGAAGAAAAAAAGAAAAGUAAGAUUAACACAGGUUGGUGUUGAUUUUGCUUUUGUUUUGCUUCUAUUUUUCUACUCCAGAUGGUUCAGGAGAAAGAAGAAAAAGGAAGAACAAGGAA